RNAcentral lists this non-coding RNA (25 nucleotides) under Pteridomonas danica. Lineage: Eukaryota; Dictyochophyceae; Pedinellales. The record is from RNAcentral.
UUGCAAACCUCGUCAGGACUGGAAG